Molecule: ribosomal RNA, 730 nt
Filed under: Pseudomonas fluorescens
Lineage: Bacteria; Pseudomonadati; Pseudomonadota; Gammaproteobacteria; Pseudomonadales; Pseudomonadaceae
Description: bacterial SSU rRNA
Rfam family: Bacterial small subunit ribosomal RNA
Source: RNAcentral
AGCAGUGGGGAAUAUUGGACAAUGGGCGAAAGCCUGAUCCAGCCAUGCCGCGUGUGUGAAGAAGGUCUUCGGAUUGUAAAGCACUUUAAGUUGGGAGGAAGGGCAGUAACUUAAUACGUUGCUGUCUUGACGUUACCGACAGAAUAAGCACCGGCUAACUCUGUGCCAGCAGCCGCGGUAAUACAGAGGGUGCAAGCGUUAAUCGGAAUUACUGGGCGUAAAGCGCGCGUAGGUGGUUUGUUAAGUUGGAUGUGAAAUCCCCGGGCUCAACCUGGGAACUGCAUUCAAAACUGACAAGCUAGAGUAUGGUAGAGGGUGGUGGAAUUUCCCGUGUAGCGGUGAAAUGCGUAGAUAUAGGAAGGAACACCAGUGGCGAAGGCGACCACCUGGACUGAUACUGACACUGAGGUGCGAAAGCGUGGGGGAGCAAACAGGAUUAGAUACCCUGGUAGUCCACGCCGUAAACGAUGUCAACUAGCCGUUGGGAGCCUUUGAGCUCUUAGUGGCGCAGCUAACGCAUUAAGUUGACCGCCUGGGGAGUACGGCCGCAAGGUUAAAACUCAAAUGAAUUGACGGGGGCCCGCACAAGCGGUGGAGCAUGUGGUUUAAUUCGAAGCAACGCGAAGAACCUUACCAGGCCUUGACAUCCAAUGAACUUCCAGAGAUGGAUUGGUGCCUUCGGGAACAUUGAGACAGGUGCUGCAUGGCUGUCGUCAGCUCGUGUCGUGAG